Small nuclear RNA from Jaculus jaculus (lesser Egyptian jerboa), 103 nucleotides. Lineage: Eukaryota; Metazoa; Chordata; Mammalia; Rodentia; Dipodidae. The record is from Ensembl.
GUGCUCUCCUUGAUAGCACUUAUACUAAAAUUGGACUGAUACAGAGAUUCGCAUGGUCCUGCACAAAUAUGGCAUGCAAAUUCAUGAAGUGUUCCAUAUUUUU